This 460-nucleotide ribosomal RNA is filed under the name uncultured bacterium. RNAcentral describes it as "partial 16S ribosomal RNA". It matches the Rfam family "Bacterial small subunit ribosomal RNA", at positions 338 to 795 of the family's 1533-position model. The record is from RNAcentral.
CCUACGGGAGGCAGCAGUGAGGAAUAUUGGUCAAUGGGCGGAAGCCUGAACCAGCCAAGUCGCGUGAGGGAUUAAGGCCCUGCGGGUCGUAAACCUCUUUUGCCGGGGAGCAGAGGUCCGGACGUGUCCGGGCUGGGAGAGUACCCGUACACAAAGCAUCGGCUAACUCCUUGCCAGCAGCCGCGGUAAUACGGGGGUUGCGGGCGUUAUCCGGUUUGAUGGGGUUUAAGGGGUUCGUAGGCGGGCAUUGAGGCCGGCGUUAAAAUGUGGGGGUUAACCCUCGGCCUGCCGUCGGAACUGGGUGCCUUGAGUGGGCGAGAGGUAUGCGGAAUGCGUGGUGUAGCGGUGAAAUGCAUAGAUAUCACGAAGAACCCCGAUGGCGAAGGCAGCAUACCGGCGCACUACUGACGCUGAGGCGCGAAAGUGCGGGUAUCGAACAGGAUUAGAUACCCCUGUAGUC